AGCUCCAAUAGCGUAUAUUAAAGUUGUUGCAGUUAAAAAGCUCGUAGUUGGAUUCCUGGCGAGAGCGGCCGGUCUGGUCCGAAUGGGCUAGUACUUUGCGCUGUCUUUGGCCAUCCUUUGGAAGAAUCCGUGUGGCAUUCAUUUGUCGUGCGGGGGACUCCAAUCGUUUACUGUGAAAAAAUUAGAGUGUUUAAAGCAGGCAUUUGCUGUGAAUACAUUAGCAUGGAAUAAUAAGAUAGGACUUUGGUGCUAUUUUGUUGGUUUGCACACCAAGGUAAUGAUUAACAGGGACAGUUGGGGGUAUUCGUAUUUAAUUGUCAGAGGUGAAAUUCAUGGAUUUAUGAAAGACGAACUACUGCGAAAGCAUUUACCAAGGAUGUUUUCAUUAAUCAAGAACGAA
This 400-nucleotide ribosomal RNA is filed under the name phytoplankton environmental sample. RNAcentral describes it as "partial small subunit ribosomal RNA". It matches the Rfam family "Eukaryotic small subunit ribosomal RNA", at positions 587 to 987 of the family's 1831-position model. The record is from RNAcentral.